This 1169-nucleotide long non-coding RNA is filed under the name Capra hircus (goat). RNAcentral's name for it is "lncRNA (ENSCHIG00010001729.1)". The record is from RNAcentral. Lineage: Eukaryota; Metazoa; Chordata; Mammalia; Artiodactyla; Bovidae.
UUACUUCAGUAUCAGGCACUGCCAGUUAAAAAAUGGGGCAACCUGCAAAAGAGUGUGGAAGCUCUAACCAAAAUCCUCUACACAGAAUGUGAUUUUUGAUGGAAACACACGGAUUCAAGUGGAAGACUUCCAGCCAAAAUCCUGAGAGAUAUAGGAGAGGCGAGUGGCAGCUCCAGGUAUUAUGCUGACCUGUGCUGUCAAAGUCUCUCCACGUUGCUCUCGCAUGCAGUUGGAGAUCCCAUGGCCACGACAAGCCACAGCCCUUGGAAACAUGCUGUACUGACCCACCAGGUGGCUCCCAAGCUACAUCUUUAGAGAACCUACCAGGUCCUGAGGCUUGUGUUCCAUCACUGUCCUCUUCACUCACCAGAAAGGUCAAUCCUAGAAUCUUCUGGCACAACUAAAAUGAGAAUGGCAUUGUCCUGAAUGACCUAUUUGUUCCAUUCAUCUGGUUUUCAGAACCAAGGUUUUUGACUCGCCUUUGGACUGAUGCCUUAAGCUUUUCAGGGUAAAGACCCAAAGCACGGCCACAAUCUGCACCACUUGCCCCAGGAUUUCCCCAGCAUAGGUAUCUAACCCACCCAUAUCUGCAUCUCCAUACUGGUUCUUGGCCUCUGCAAGCCACUUCUCAAAAGCCUUAUUCUUGCAUGUCAGACCCCAUCAAUGGAACAUUUCUGGUGGCCUCUGAAAACGUCGUGAGUUCCAAUAAAGGUCUCUGGUUGUACCUGAGAAAUGCCAAGUACAAUGAGAACUGUCUUUUCCUGAAAUGUUGCAGAUCAGUUACAGCAAACAGAACAGCGACUGUCAAGGAAAACUGUCACUUUGGGCUCCUUUUUGACCACAGCAGCUAUAUGGAAGCAGCUGCAGCUUCGAUAAGGGCCAUGGCGGUGGGGGGGUGGGGCCGCGGGGAUCUAGGUCACAGGGCAGACCCAACACUGCAGCCCUCAGACUCACCUAAAUCCUGUGCAUCAGGACUCAUCUACUGGAACAUUCUGGAAACUAAAAGAGAACAGACAUCCUAUAGGUUGUGAUCACCACCUUCUUUUACUAUGUGCCAGUGGUUUGUCUCAUUUUAUCUUCACAGGAUCGUUUUAUCAACUCUGUCUUACAUCAGAUUUAGACUGCUUACUUGCCAAAGUCCUCUAUCAAUGGAGAAAGUGACAACCUUG